CACACGACUCUCGGCAACGGAUAUCUCGGCUCUCGCAUCGAUGAAGAACGUAGCAAAAUGCGAUACCUGGUGUGAAUUGCAGAAUCCCGUGAACCAUCGAGUCUUUGAACGCAAGUUGCGCCCGAGGCCUUCUGGUCGAGGGCACGCCUGCCUGGGCGUCACGC
This 164-nucleotide ribosomal RNA is filed under the name Eriachne pulchella. RNAcentral's name for it is "5.8S ribosomal RNA". It matches the Rfam family "5.8S ribosomal RNA". From Rfam's summary of the family: 5.8S ribosomal RNA (5.8S rRNA) is a component of the large subunit of the eukaryotic ribosome. It is transcribed by RNA polymerase I as part of the 45S precursor that also contains 18S and 28S rRNA. RNAcentral also lists the same sequence under 1 other name. The record is from RNAcentral. Lineage: Eukaryota; Viridiplantae; Streptophyta; Magnoliopsida; Poales; Poaceae.